AUGGUGGAAAAAAUCUUCCGCAUGAAAAGGGGGAAAAAACACAACCAUUUACGAUCUCAGUCAGCAGAUUUACUCUACUCAAGGAAAAAAAAGAAACCACCUUAUUGGAAGCAGAUGUUGACACUGUGUCAGUUAUUGAAGAUGGAAGGAGUUCACUUGAGCCAUUGCAGUUACAAAGGGGUUCUUAAUUACAUCUUUAAAGUCCCUUUUUCCAUGUAAAAUAACAUAUUCAGUGGUUCUGGGGAUUAGGACUUGGAGCCAUUAUUCUACCUACAACAAUUAGUAUUGGACUUCCGUCAUUUUCCAUCACUCUUGUAAUCAAGAAGGACUAUUUCACUGGGAGUAGCAAGUCAUAAUGCUUGCGUUGGCAUUUGUGUGGGGGUUUGUCUUCAUUCAUCAAAUAAUUGCAUAUAAAGAAAAUUUCUGUCACUAUUUCAAAUGUUUCAUGUAGUUUCUAUAGUACUUCAGAAUCCAAAGGGUUAUGUAUUACUUAUGUAAGAUGAGCAGUCUGGGGGGCGGAGAGCAGGUCAUCUAGUGCAGAUUCUUCCUAGCUGAAGUGUGUUUUCUCUGGGGACAACCAAGUACGAUUUCAUUGUUUUGCUUCCUUUUUUGGGAACAUAGGCCCAUCUUGUGAUGCCCUAAGUCUCCAAGCAUCUUAUUUGACCUGCUUAUACACAUUUGACUAAAUAGCUAAAUAUGACCACAUUGACGUGGUAAAGCUUUAACACUUUUGUCCAGAUUGAAUCACUCCAUCUGCUAUCAGUUAAGCAGUGGAAAAACUUAUGGAAAAGCAAACAUGUUUUGAUAGAUUUAAUGUGUAAAGAGGGUAUCCACACUCUGGAAUGCUGCUGAUCAAUAAAUGAACUGCAAGACUUUGUUCGAAACAACACUCAAACACAACUGUUUUACUUUCCAUACCAAGUUUGGCUGUGACUGAAUGAAGAACACCAGCAUUGAUCUUUGCUUUGCACUUGUACAAGAGACUAUUUGCAGAGAGCCAAAUAUAGCAACAGAGGAUUUAAUAUCUUGCCAAAAAAUACAAAAUCUGUUCCCCUUUAAGCAUGACACUCUAUCCUUUCUUGUGGAUCUUGCUAAAAGGAAAAUAUAGCUUUAAACUCCCCAAUUCUUUCUGUUGAAAACUCACGAAUCUUUUUCAAAUGAGCUCUGUAUGGUUUUGUGGUGUUUUAUGUUUCCAAAAGAAAAUGGCUACAUGAGAAAUCUGUCCAAUGUUAUUUUUCCUACAAAAAAUACGUCUGGUGAUGGCUGUAUUAAUUAAUUUGAUUGUGUUUACACAAUGUUUACCCAUGUCAAACCAUCAUAUGGUAUACCUUAAAUAUAUACAACUUUUAUUUGUCAAUGAUAACUCAGUAAGUCUGGGAAAAUAUCUUUAAGUCAAAGGUUAGAGUCAUCAGAAAUAAAGAAAAAUCAUACUUCGAUAACCUCAAGACUAAUCAAGGAUAAUUGGGUGACAUGAUAUCAUGCUGUGUGCCAUUUUGUAUUAAACAAAUUACACCAACAAUAAAAAAAAUUGGCUUCAA
This is an RNA transcript of Mandrillus leucophaeus (drill), 1538 nucleotides long. RefSeq lists it as uncharacterized. Lineage: Eukaryota; Metazoa; Chordata; Mammalia; Primates; Cercopithecidae. The record is from RefSeq and is a predicted model, not a curated record. The transcript is spliced from 2 exons.